AUGGGACGGCGGCGGCUGAGCGCGGCACCGGCGCUCGAGAAGACAGCGGACCAUGGAGGCGCGGCUUGUGAAGAACGGAUAGGGCAGGUGGUCGAGAAGAUGAAAAAGGAGGGAAUAGAUAUGAGCCAAAGGAGGGUUGGCGCUUUUCAACGGAGGAUUUGCCCAAAGUGCAAAGGGGGUUCAACUAAGGACCGAAGCCUCAGCGUCUUCAUCCGGGAAAAUGGUACACAUGGAAACUGGACUUGUUUUAGAGCGAGUUGUGGAUGGAAAGGCUAUACCCAGAAAACUCGUGAAGAGGACCUGAGUCUCGAGCCUCUUUGUGAUGAGCUCGUGACAUACUUCUCGGAAAGAAUGAUAUCGGCAAAAACACUUCGAAGGAACAAUGUAUCACAACGUAAAAGGAAUGACAAGAUUGUAAUUGCUUUCACCUAUAGACGUGAUGAAGUCCUUGUUGGCUGCAAAUACAGGGAGGUCUCUAAGAGAUUUUCACAGGAGGUGAACACUGAGAAAAUUUUGUAUGGUCUGGAUGAUAUAAAGCAAGCACGCGAUGUUAUCAUUGUUGAGGGUGAAAUUGAUAAACUUUCCAUGGAGGAGGCUGGCUAUCGUAAUUGUGUGAGUGUGCCACAUGGUGCACCAGCUAAAGUAUCAAAGAAACCCCCGGACAAAAAUCAUGAUAAGAAGUAUUUAUAUCUGUGGAACUGCAAAGAGUAUCUUGACCCGGCAUCUAGGAUAAUACUGGCAACGGAUGCUGAUCCUCCAGGGCAGGCUCUUGCUGAGGAACUUGCUCGACGUCUUGGUAAAGAAAGGUGUUGGAGGGUCAAAUGGCCAAAGAAGAAUGAGACAGAAUUUUACAAAGAUGCUAACGAGGUACUUGUGUCCUUAGGACCACAAGCAUUGAAAGAGGUUAUACAAGGUGCUGAACUGUUUAGGAUUUUAAACUCUUGA
Molecule: ribosomal RNA, 945 nt
Filed under: Triticum aestivum (bread wheat)
Lineage: Eukaryota; Viridiplantae; Streptophyta; Magnoliopsida; Poales; Poaceae
Description: partial small subunit ribosomal RNA
Source: RNAcentral